RNAcentral lists this ribosomal RNA (272 nucleotides) under uncultured bacterium. Its description in RNAcentral is "partial 16S ribosomal RNA". It matches the Rfam family "Bacterial small subunit ribosomal RNA", at positions 28 to 300 of the family's 1533-position model. The record is from RNAcentral.
GAUGAACGCUAGCGGCAGGCCUAAUACAUGCAAGUCGAGGGGCAGCAGGAUAGCAAUAUCGCUGGCGACCGGCGCACGGGUGCGUAACACGUAUACAAUCUGCCUUUAACAGGGGGAUAGCCUUUCGAAAGAGAGAUUAAUACCCCAUAACACUUGAAAUAGCAUUAUUUUAAGUUAAAAGCUCCGGCGGUUAAAGAUGAGUAUGCGUCUGAUUAGCUAGUUGGUGAGGUAACGGCUCACCAAGGCGACGAUCAGUAGGGGAUCUGAGAGGA